Molecule: ribosomal RNA, 94 nt
Filed under: Tomicus piniperda (common pine shoot beetle)
Lineage: Eukaryota; Metazoa; Arthropoda; Insecta; Coleoptera; Curculionidae
Also listed under: 1 other name
Description: partial 5.8S ribosomal RNA
Source: RNAcentral
AACAUCGACAUUUCGAACGCACAUUGCGGUCCUCGGAUUCUGUUCCCGGACCACUCCUGGCUGAGGGUCGUGUCAAUUUCAAAGACUGCUCGGC